AGUGAACGCUGGCGGUAGGCCUAACACAUGCAAGUCGAACGGCAGCACAGGAGAGCUUGCUCUCUGGGUGGCGAGUGGCGGACGGGUGAGGAAUACAUCGGAAUCUACUUUUUCGUGGGGGAUAACGUAGGGAAACUUACGCUAAUACCGCAUACGACCUACGGUUGAAAGCAGGGGACCUUCGGGCCUUGCACGAUUGAAUGAGCCGAUGUCGGAUUAGCUAGUUGGCGGGGUAAAGGCCCACCAAGGCGACGAUCCGUAGCUGGUCUGAGAGGAUGAUCAGCCACACUGGAACUGAGACACGGUCCAGACUCCGACGGGAGGCAGCAGUGGGGAAUAUUGGACAAUGGGCGCAAGCCUGAUCCAGCCAUACCGCGUGGGUGAAGAAGGCCUUCGGGUUGUAAAGCCCUUUUGUUGGGAAAGAAAUCCAGCUGGCUAAUACCGGGUUGGGAUGACGGUACCCAAAGAAUAAGCACCGGCUAACUUCGUGCCAGCCGCCGCAGUAA
Molecule: ribosomal RNA, 506 nt
Filed under: uncultured bacterium
Lineage: Bacteria
Description: partial 16S ribosomal RNA
Rfam family: Bacterial small subunit ribosomal RNA
Source: RNAcentral